UACGUAGGAUGCAAGCGUUGUCCGGAAUUAUUGGGCGUAAAGAGUUCGUAGGCGGUUUUUCAAGUCUGGUGUUAAAUACCGGGGCUCAACCCCGGCACGGCACUGGAAACUGUAGAACUUGAGUUAGGUAGAGGCAAAGGGAAUUCCCGGAGUAGCGGUGAAAUGCGUAGAUAUCGGGAGGAACACCAGUGGCGAAAGCGCUUUGCUGGGCCUAAACUGACGCUGAGGAACGAAAGCCAGGGUAGCGAAAGAG
RNAcentral lists this ribosomal RNA (253 nucleotides) under uncultured bacterium. Its description in RNAcentral is "partial 16S ribosomal RNA". It matches the Rfam family "Bacterial small subunit ribosomal RNA", at positions 524 to 776 of the family's 1533-position model. The record is from RNAcentral.